UAGGACUUCGAGUGUGGGUGCUCCAGACAAU
RNAcentral lists this non-coding RNA (31 nucleotides) under Mus musculus (house mouse). Lineage: Eukaryota; Metazoa; Chordata; Mammalia; Rodentia; Muridae. The record is from RNAcentral.